AGAAAAAGUGAUCCAGCAGCUCAAGCCCAGCUAGCGCGACGCACACUUUGUGGACUCCACACUCCAUACACACACACACACACACACACACACACACUCGCUUUACUUUGGCUACUAGAUCUAGAUCUAGAGCCUAGAUCUACUACGAGAUCUGACGCGAGCGAAACAGCUGUGGCGACUGACGGAAUGGAAAGUAAUAAAUGGUCCCCGAGUUAUUUCAAACUCUGAGAUCUGUCAUUGGAUGAUCAAGUGCACUCCUUUCUGAGGAACAAAUUGUUUAGUUUUGCUGAUCAGUGCAUAUUGUUUUAAUUCAUGUGCGAUAGGUAGAAUCUUACGAUUUGAAACUUUUCUUUGGCGUGUUUUGUGUAACGGCUGAGCUUGUUUUGGGGAUUGUUUUGGAGGAAGGAAAUGUAAACCAUCUAGAUUAUCUAGAUCUAGAUCUAGCUAGAGAUCUAGAUCUAGAUUCUAGAUCUAAUCUAGAUCUAGAUAAAAGAAAAUAAUUACGCGCGAGAGCGAAACUCUGAUUUAUCAGCAUUUUUAAAAUCUUUUUAUUUAAGGGAUGGGAAGUCCUAAUACGAGAAACAAAAUUCAUGAAGCAGAAUAAUUUCACCUUGAUCUAGAUCUAGAUUAGGUCUAUGCUUUCGAAAAACUACAGCACGAACCGAGGAUUGCACUCUUUUUAGUCUUUUUACUUUUAGCUCUUCUGAAAGAGAGGUAGGCCUUGCUUGAGUCCCUACUUUCGCUUUCUAACGGAAAAGGGACUGAUUUUUAUUCCGUAGCGUAAAAGAGUUCUCGAUAACCUGCGCAAAAAUAGCGCCGCAUUGUCGACUGCCGACACGGUGACCUACUUUCUGCGGUUGCUUCGAAAUCCCUUCACGACUUCAUGUGUAAAAAACCAACCCCAAAAAACCAACAGCCACACAUACACAUUACCGCAUCAGCUGGAUGUUUAUCUUAAUUUUAAACCAGGUAGGAAAAUCUCACGAUAAAUAGGACUGAACUAGGUUAUUUGUGUUGGCUUUUCACGUCUCUGACACAGUUAGUCUAAUAGUUAACGUGAACGCAGUGAAACCCCGUAGUCGAAUAGCACACAGAGCCAGUAUCAAGGAAUGUGUUGUGUGUAAGCCUACUGCUCCGGAAUUAUGUAUUGUGUGUUGGCACGGAGUGAGGCAGAAGAAGUUACGACGGACUAAUUCUAGGCUCUCUGUGGCUGCAGGGUUGACUUUGAACUUUAAAAGCAUUCGGUCCAUGUCGCUAUCAAUCGCAUAGUGGAUGCUUACGUGGAGUGUGGUGGCUGAUUCUGAAAUCGUAACUGCUGUGCUAAUUUGUGUGAAAACAACUCUGUGAUGACCCUUUUGGAUUUGUAUUGUAUGGUGGCUUUCAAACAAAAGACCUGUUGUUGAUAAUCUUUCUGGACAAAAGGAUUUGAUUCUUAUGUGCAGGAUUGAAGUCAAGCUCGCGGGAAUCUCUCCCAUCACGGUGACUGUCCUCCUCGGCGUCUCCCAUGUGGCCUGACGGGGUGACUUAAACCCUCGCCCGCCCGCCCUGCCCUGCCCACACCCUGCCCACUCGACCACCCUACCACCUGACGAUGCUGCCCACCACCUCGUGUAGCAAGCCUGACUAGGCAAGGACCAGAGAGAACAAGAGAGGAUAACAACGUUUGCUGGGCCUCAAAGGCCCUUUGUGUUGUCUCGCAAUCACGUGUGGCCCCUCCAGAAUCCCACCAAUCAGGACUCGCCCCUCAAAACAGAGACACUUUGACCUGUCCCCUUUCCCCCCUACAACAACUCACCCCGCCCCUUUCCUAUUCCCACCACUCGUUCAGCUCCCCCUCCCCUUCCCCCUCUUGAUCAGCACUUGCUCUCCCCCCUCCCUCCCCAAAAUCACUUG
Molecule: long non-coding RNA, 1893 nt
Filed under: Aplysia californica (California sea hare)
Lineage: Eukaryota; Metazoa; Mollusca; Gastropoda; Aplysiida; Aplysiidae
Description: uncharacterized LOC118478298
Source: RNAcentral